CACCUUGAGUGUGUGUUCUGGUCGAGUUCUUCACAGAAGCCAAGAGAAGCUUCUAAGCUCCAACCCUAAUCAACCAAAUUUCAUCAAAUCAAAGGGGCAAAUCGAGUCCAAAUAGAAAUCUAAACUCAGAUUAGUGAUCACCUCCGUGAAAGGAACAUAAGGCACGGUGGUUGAAUCUUCAAGUGGUUAAGUCGGAGCGGACGCGCGCUUGAAGGAUAUGCUUUGAAAGGUGAAUGUCGAGAGCCCCGGAUGAAGAUCAAGCGUCGAGCAAGAACCGAACACGCGUUAAAUGAAGCUUCCGCAGGUUGUUUCGUCGUCAUUCUUAAACGAUGAAUUAAAUUACACUAUGUAGUUUUGCUUUCAAAAUUUAGUAAAGUUUUAAUAAAUCCGUAUUUGAGCAUGAA
This is a long non-coding RNA of Helianthus annuus (common sunflower), 404 nucleotides long. RefSeq lists it as uncharacterized. Lineage: Eukaryota; Viridiplantae; Streptophyta; Magnoliopsida; Asterales; Asteraceae. The transcript is spliced from 3 exons. The record is from RefSeq and is a predicted model, not a curated record.